RNAcentral lists this long non-coding RNA (2156 nucleotides) under Triticum aestivum (bread wheat). Its description in RNAcentral is "long non-coding RNA (TAES_LNC004315)". Lineage: Eukaryota; Viridiplantae; Streptophyta; Magnoliopsida; Poales; Poaceae. The record is from RNAcentral.
CCAAAUAUCAUUGGCUUCACUCUGUAUAUGUAACGACCCGAAUCUAAUAAAAUUCAAUGUCUCUGUGCUCACUGUGCUAGUCCCUGGAUCGACUCGCUAGCACACACAAUACAUAUAAAUAUCAAAUAACAAGUGCAUCAUUUACUACAACGUAUGAUCCAGAAUUUAUAAAGUAUUACAAACUGAAUAGCACAUGGCUAACUUAUUCAAUAAUAACAGCGGAAAGGUGGCAUAAUAAACGAUGAGGCCAUCAAUGCCCACUAGAGAACAUGUUGAGUGAAGACUCGCGACCCUACUGUAUCUCACUGAUCAUCUGAAAAUCCUGCAACAUGAUAAGUUGCAGCCGCAAAGGGUCAAUACAUUGAAUGUAUUGGCAAAUCACACAAUAUGAUAUAGCAAACCUACAUCCACAAAGCAAUGUAUGACAAACAAAACACACAAGUUAGUUUGAAGAAGAAUGUCUUCACCUACCUCCACUACCUGAACUGACAACCGUCUCUAAUUUACUCGCCCAAGAUAACCCAAAGAUUCUAAAUAAACAUGACAAGAACUUCAGAAGUAUCUCAAGUGCGCUCUGUCAGUGGCGCAUUCUCUAGGAACCAUAGAGCGCUCUGCCAAGGACGCAUUCACCUGAUUUAAGUUCCGAAAACUAUACCUCGCCUCAAGUGCGCUCUAUCAAUGGCGAAUUCUCUAGGCACAAUAGAGCGCUAUGCCGGUGACGCAUUCACCUGGUUAAUAAUCCCGAGCCUACGGCUAUAAACACUCACCACUUUCAUGGAUCACUCGGCACAUGCCCGCGUCUACCAUAGCGAGUUGAUCACACCAUCACAUAAUACAAUCAAUACCAGAAUAUAACAACAGAGAACAUACAGAUCAAACCAGCACAUGUCAUAGCAUAAAAACCACACACACAUAGCAGAAUAUAGGAUGAGCAAAAUCAAAAGUGCAAAGCCUUGAACGAUGUUGAAGUACUCUAACGAUUAAUUCUGAUCCGCUUCGCACUCCGGACAAUCUAUACGUUCAACGAAUGCACCGAUAAAUAAAUCGUACUCACAUAACACUAAAAUAAAUUCAACAACAAAUAGUUCAAAUAAAACUUUAAUAUCAUAAACAUAUCAGUAGGCAUAUCUUAUCUACAUGCUAGUAGGAUCACAAUGCAAAAAGAAUCAACUAAUUUGGAUCAACGGUUUGAAAGAUACGGCCUCAGAAAGGUUAACUUCCAAUUUGAGCAAAUGCAAAUUUAAACAGUUCAAACAUGUGAAAUUUUGGUUUUACAAUAUUCUCCUGGUCUCUACGAGUACACAGGAAAAAUAAUCGAUGAAUUUGGAGUUACGGAUCUCAAGAUAUACUUAAAUGAAAUUUUGAUAUGGAAUCUGCCAAAAGAAUAUUGUGUCAAAAAUAGAUUUCGAAGAACUGUUGCGGCUGUGGAUGUGCCACGUGGCAAGGUGUGAGUGGCUGAAAGUUGUCCGCUAUUGUGGCUAACGGACGAACGGCCGGCAUAUAAUAGAAAAAUGUUUCAACAAAAAAAACAAUAGAGACUUAAUCCGGGUGGUCGAACAUGAAUUGGACGGCGGGAGAUGCUCACCGGAAAACAUGGCAGGGUGCGUCGCCGGACUUGAAGAAGAACAGUGCGGGGCGGCUCGGGAUUCGGCGACAGCGACGGCUAAGGGGCUUGCUGGACUCAGGGAAGGUACUUGGAGAUGCGGAGGAGCUCGGAGGUCCCGAAUAUGACGUGGGUGACGUGGUUUCUUCAGUUGGGUCUUCUAGCGAUGGCACCGCCCAGAAAGAGCUCGGCGGCGGCGAUCUGCUCCUGGUCGAAGUUGCAGCGCUCGGUUCGGUGAAUCCCUGUGCCACUAAGAGGUGAGGUCGAGGCAGAAGCUCGAGGCGAUCAAGAAUAGGUUAACAGGGGUGCUGGGAACCGAUGGUGGGGACGAAACGCACCAGCAGAAGCUUCAGGCGGUGGCGGUCUCCGGCAAGAUCGGGACGACGCCCCAGGGCACGGGAGAACUCCGUUUUGGCGAAAAAUUGGACAAACCUGACGUGGGGAGUAUAUAUGGAGGUGGGAGUGCGAGAGGUGCAAGAUUCGAGCCGAAUCCACCGAGGAUUUGGAUCGGGAUUGAUCUCCAGGAAGAACACGUAUGAAGCAAGGUGAUGAU